RNAcentral lists this small RNA (206 nucleotides) under Escherichia coli. RNAcentral's name for it is "STnc100". It matches the Rfam family "Gammaproteobacterial sRNA STnc100". The record is from RNAcentral. Lineage: Bacteria; Pseudomonadati; Pseudomonadota; Gammaproteobacteria; Enterobacterales; Enterobacteriaceae.
GUUUGCGGGGAGUUUGUUAAAAGAAACUGGCAUGGUGAAUCCCCCUGUGCGGAGGGGUAAUCAGCAACUGGUGUUUUGUCACCGACCCUUAUCCUUUCUGUGCGGGUUCAGGUGCUGAUACUGAACUCACCGGGAGGCACCCGGCAUCAUGCAAUGGCACAUAGCGCCACUCUCCAGCCCCUCUCCGGAGGGGCUUUUCUGUGCCG